This 244-nucleotide long non-coding RNA is filed under the name Mustela putorius furo (domestic ferret). RNAcentral's name for it is "lncRNA (ENSMPUG00000026426.1)". The record is from RNAcentral. Lineage: Eukaryota; Metazoa; Chordata; Mammalia; Carnivora; Mustelidae.
UUUUUUUUUUUAAGAUUUUAUUUAUUUCUUGAAGAGAGUGAAAGAGAGAGCCCAAGAAAGGGGAGGAUCAGAGGGAGAAGCAGACUCCCCGCCAAGCAGAGAGCCCCAACAGGAUUACAUCCCAGGACUCCAGGAUUGUGACCCGAGCCCAAGACAGAGACCCAACUGGCUGAGACACCCAGCUCUAGACAUCUGAACCAGAAAAAUCACCUUAAGUGAUGAAAAGCAUGGUGUGCAAAUCGAC